Molecule: long non-coding RNA, 1224 nt
Filed under: Oryctolagus cuniculus (rabbit)
Lineage: Eukaryota; Metazoa; Chordata; Mammalia; Lagomorpha; Leporidae
Description: lncRNA (ENSOCUG00000031155.1)
Source: RNAcentral
AUGGACAGAAGUUCUUCGGAAGAGGGAGCAGGGAAAAGCACUUAUAAUGGAUUCCAUUAUGAAAUAUCACUAAGGCUAGGCUGCUGGGAAGCCACUGUCCUCUCUUCUGAACUGUGCCAGAACUGCCAAGGCUCUUAGAGAAGUCUUCACAGGUGCAAACAGAGGAUAAAUCUUCCUACUCAUGUGAGCCAAUUAAAGACCUCAUGUACCUCUUCAAAAAGUAAAUAAGUAAAGCCUUUGCUUUUUCCCCAAGAAGAGUGUUGCACUUUAUGGCAGACAUGUUUUUCCUACCUCUUCCAAUUCUCUCAGAAAGAUGCUGUUGGCACGAAAACUUCCUGGUGAGUAAAUAAGAGCUUUCUGCACCCCCAUGUUUAUUGCAGCUCAAUUCACAAUAGCUAAGACAUGGAAUUAGCCUAAAUGCAUAUCAACCAAAGACUAGAUAAAAACUAUGGGAUAUGUGCACUAUGGGGUACUACACAGUGGUAAAAAUGAAAUCUGGUCAUUUGCAUCAAAAUGGAAGAAUACUUAGUGAUGUAAGCCAGUCCUGAUGGGACAAAUAGCAUAUGUUCUCACUGAUUUAUGAGAAGUAAUAGAGCACCUAAAAUGAAAUCUGUAUAAGUGAAAUUGACACUUAAAAAAGAAGCUGCCCUUAUCUUGACUUAUAAGGAAUAGUUUUUUGUUUGUUUUAUCAUUUUUUUCUUCAUACUAUUUGUUGAACUCUUUUCAUACUAUUUAUUGAAUUUAAUAUAUGUGUAUAAAUUCAAUUAAGGUUGGAUCUCUUAAAAAAUAGGAGUGGGAAGCAGUCCACAUAGCAGACCCAUAGAAUGACAAUCACUUUAAGUAACACUCUGACUUCAGAAUCAGCCCUUAAGUCAUCCUGGUCUAGCUGAAAACUCAUGAACAUUUCUGGCAUGGAAAGCCAAGACGCUGUGGCAAAAAUAUUCUACAUAAAGGAUAUCUGUGAGUGAGACCCCAGCAAAAGUAAGUGGCCAUCAAAGAAGGAUGUACUUUUAAGGGAAGAGAGAACUUAGGAUUUGUAUACAGCCUUAUCUAAAUACUGACAGAAUUUUUGAUUUCGAGAGGCUUGCAUAGCCAAGGUAACUAAUGUCAAGAGCCUUGGGUGGUCACUGACAUACAUAAGAAUACUAACUCCCCAUGCAUGACCUCUACCUCAAUAAGUGUAUUAUGAGAGUUAACUGUAAAACUAAUUCUCAAACAGUUGUU